GUUGGGGCAGCAUUCAAAAGACUGCUAUUUUAGCAAUUAACCUUUUAAAUGAAAAGUUCAUUAUUUUCUCUCGGAACACACUUGUUCAAAUGUCUCCAUUUUUCUACAAAGCCACGGCCGUUUUGAAGACUUAAAAAAAAAAAGUUCAAUUACUUUCAAUCAAAUUCUCAUUACUUGAUGCAGUAGCUGGCUGUGAUCAUAGACAGCAACAUCUCUCCAUGCUGAGAUGGGCUACCUUGCAGCCUUGGUUCAUGUAUGCCACUUGGAGAAAUAAUAAUGGACAUCACACACUGCAUAGGAAAUGGCAAUAGUCCAGGCAUCCCUGAGAAAACAGCACUAAACUAUCCCUAGCCUUUCCAGCAGCAAAUGCAAAACCAAAUGGCUUCUGAUCAUGGACGUGAUACCACUGGCAGGGUAACAUCCAGAGGAAAGCAUGUAUGAGUUUGCCACC
Molecule: long non-coding RNA, 451 nt
Organism: Sphaerodactylus townsendi
Lineage: Eukaryota; Metazoa; Chordata; Lepidosauria; Squamata; Sphaerodactylidae
Exons: 3
Source: RefSeq, a predicted model, not a curated record